RNA transcript from Eriocheir sinensis (Chinese mitten crab), 8221 nucleotides. It is a transcript of the gene named activating signal cointegrator 1 complex subunit 3-like, with no coding region annotated. The record is from RefSeq and is a predicted model, not a curated record. Lineage: Eukaryota; Metazoa; Arthropoda; Malacostraca; Decapoda; Varunidae. The transcript has 47 exons.
UUGGUCUUGGUCUUGUCCCGGUUUGUUUACAUUCAUUGCCUUCACGUACGGGGGAGUGAGAAAAACAGCCGCUAUUUCGCUAUUUCUACCCUUUAUUUUAGUUACUAGUGACGGAUUGAAGUAUAUUUAAACGCCUAACACAUUAAGCUAACGAGGGCCAGGUAGCCAGCCAGCCAGGUGGUCGCAAUGCCUCCUCAGUGGGGUACAGGAGAGGAGGACUGCCCGCGCCUCACCACCUUCCUCCGGACCCACGCCAAUGUCAGCCGUCGUCAGGAGGAGGAUGGGUACGACUUGGCCCACAUCCUCGCCACAAAGAGAGAGCUGCGCAGGAGGAAGGCAUUGAAGAGUGGGGUCACCUGGGGCCGCAUCAAGGGUCAGGUGGAAAGGAUGGGACGCUCGUUAAGCAUCAACCUGGAGUGUUACCUGCGGGAGGUGUGGGAGGUGGCGCGGCAGGUGGCGCCAGAGCUGGACACGAGAGAGGAAGCUGCAGCCCUCCUCUUCACCUCCUCCCACCCCCCCGGAGAGGCCGUGCCCACGCUACGCUCACGGGCAAAGCUCAGACGCACACUCGGAGACGUACAUGUGCACCUCCUGGACCGCGCUCAUAAGGCCGUGCGUCAAAUCGUGGACCUCUUGGGGCAGGAGGAGGUCACCGAGGCCAUCAAGGGGCUGGAGGAGUCCCCACAGGAGGCCACACCAAUGUUUGGGGAGAAUAUCAAGAUCGGACUUCAGGGAAAACCACCCGACCUCAUACCCCCUGAGAAGCUGCUGGACCUCUGCAAGCCUAAGGUGGUUUCCCGAGCGACCUUAAACUUCGAGGAUUACCAGACGCCCUCCACCGAGCCUGUCUGCGCUAGGAAGGUGCCGCGUCGGGAGAUGUACGACAGGUCCUGGGUUGAGGCGCAGAUGCUGGGCUACUACAGUGACACCUCCAUCGUGGCCGAGCUCAGCAGCGGCACACACACCCUCCUCAUGAGCUCCAAGGGGGAUGACGAGCUGCAGAACGAGCUGUUUGACCUGCUGGGCUUCGAGAGGUUUGAGCUGAUCCAGACUCUCCUGCAGCACCGCCAGCAGAUCAAGAACGCACCACCAGACAAGGAGAAGAAGAUUGCACAGCUGUUGAGUGGGAUAGAGGGCAUGGACCCGCAGGUGGGGGUGGUGGGGGGGCCGCAGCAGAAGGCCGUGGUGGGGCAGCAGGUGACGGUGAUGAAUGAGACGGAGAAACAGCUGCUUAAACAGGCGCGUCGGGAGGAGAGGCGGCUCAUGCGAACGGCCAAACAGCUGGAGAAGGAUGAAACAGCGGAUGACUUUGACCCUGAAACUUUGAGGGCCAAGAGAGAGUCGGCGCUGCUCCAGGCCUCCCAAGCGUUCCUGUUCAAAAAGCGCGAGAGGGCAGCGGCUCCGGAGGUCAAGUUCCCUUACGUGUUCGACAUGCACGGGAAGGCCAAGGAGUCAGCUGGCUUCAUCGCAGGGCUCAAGAUGGCGCUUCCCGAGGGGUUCGAGCGCUCCUCCGACAGCACCAUGGAGGAGGUUCGCAUCCCCACCUCCGAUCCCGCGCCCCCCGAGGUGGGAGGUGACUUUGUGCCGAUUUCCGAGAUGGACGAGAUCGGGAGGACCGUCUUCCGCCACUGCAAGACCCUGAACCGCAUCCAGACUGUCGUGCACCCAGUCGCCUACCACACCAACCACAACCUGCUUAUCUGCGCUCCCACCGGUGCCGGAAAGACCAACAUCGCCCUGCUGACCGUGGUGCAUCAGAUUAGGAAGCACGUCGAGCAGGGGGUGAUACAGAUGGACAAGUUCAAGAUCGUCUACAUCGCUCCCAUGAAAGCGCUGGCGGCGGAGAUGGCUCGGAACUUCUCGAAACGCCUGGAGCCACUGGGCCUGAAGGUGCGGGAGCUGACCGGGGACAUGCACCUCACCAAGCCGGAGAUCAUGGCCACGCACAUGAUCAUCACCACGCCGGAGAAGUGGGAUGUCACCACCCGGAAGCCUGGUGACACCCAGCUGGCCCAGUUGGUGAAGCUCCUGAUCAUCGACGAGGUCCACCUCCUGCAUGGCGACCGUGGCCCCGUGCUGGAGACCCUGGUGGCGCGGACCCUGAGGAUGGUUGAGUCUCAGCAGUCCAUGAUCAGGAUAGUCGGACUGUCCGCCACGCUGCCCAACUACAUCGACGUGGCCACCUUCCUGCGCGUCAACCCCUACGAGGGACUCUUCUAUUUUGACGGACGUUUCCGCCCUGUGCCUCUGGGCCUGACCUUCGUGGGGGUCAAGGCCAUGGGAAGGUUCAAGCAGCUGGAGGAGAUGGACCGGAUCACCUUCGACAAAUGCCUCCACUUCCUCCAGCAGGGCCACCAGGUGAUGGUGUUCGUCCACGCGCGGAACGGCACUCUGCGCACGGCCGAGAACCUGAUCAAGCUUGCCCAGGAGCACGGCAAGACCCAGGACUUCAUGCCGGAGCCGGGCCCAGACGUGGCGAGGGCGAGGAAGGACUUCGCCCGCUCCCGCAACAAGAGGCUGGGGGAGCUCUUUGACUCAGGGUUCGGGGUGCAUCACGCGGGGCUCCUGCGCUCAGAUAGGAACUUGGUUGAGAAUUACUUCAGCCAGGGGUACAUCCGCGUGUUGGUGUGCACCGCCACGCUGGCCUGGGGCGUCAACCUGCCCGCCCACGCCGUCAUCAUCAAGGGCACUGAGAUCUACGACUCCAAGCACGGGACGAUGGUAGACUUGGGUAUCCUGGAUGUGUUGCAAAUCUUCGGACGAGCGGGUCGGCCCCAGUUCGACAAGACCGGCCACGGAACGAUCAUCACAGCACACGACAAGCUGGCCCACUACCUCUCCCUCCUGACCAACCAGUACCCCAUAGAGAGCUCCUUCAUCAACCACCUAGCGGAUAAUCUCAAUGCGGAGGUCGCGCUCGGAACGGUGACCAAUAUCGAGGAGGCGGUUGAGUGGAUGAGCUACACCUACCUGUUUGUACGCAUGCGGAAAAACCCACAGGUCUACGGGCUCCAAAUCAAGGACGCCCAGCAUGACCCGACCCUGGAGGUGUACCGGAAGAUGCUGCUCACCAAGGCAUCGCGGGAGCUGGACAAGGCGAGGAUGGUGCGCUUUGACGAGGCGACCGGGUACCUGCACAUCACAGACAUGGGCCGCGUCGCCUCCCAGUUCUACAUCAAGUACGACACGAUAGAGGUGUUCAAUGAGUACCUGAAGGCGGUCAUGAACGAGGCGGAUAUCCUGGCUGUCGUGUCCCAGAGCUCGGAGUUUACGCAGCUGAAGGUGCGCGAUGAGGAGAUGAAUGAGCUUGACGACCUCCACAACCAGUGCGAGGUGGCAGCAGCGGGCGGGGCGGAGAACGUCCACGGCAAGGUCAACAUUCUCCUGCAAAGUCACAUCUCCAGGAUCAGGGUGGAGGGGUUCUCACUGGUCUCCGACGCUAACUAUGUGACGGAGAACUCGGUCCGUAUCACCCGGGCGCUCUUCGAGAUCGUCCUUCACCGAGGCUGGCCGCUGAUGGCCGGUCGCCUGCUCACCAUGGCCAAGAUGCUGGAGCUUCAGAUGUGGCACUUUGAGUCUCCACUGCGCCAGUUCCACAGACUCACGCAGGAGGUGGUGGACAAGAUAGAGGAUCGGAGGCUUACCAUUGAGAAGAUCAGGGACAUGGACCACAGGGAGAUAGGCAAGAUGCUGCGUCACGAGAGGAUGGGCCACGAGGUCAAGGCGGCGGCGUGGCAGUUCCCGUUCCUCAACAUGGAGGCGGUGACGCAGCCCAUCACUCGCACGGUGCUCAGAGUUCGCCUCACCAUCACGCCGGAGUUUACGUGGAAUGACAAGGUGCACGGAGGCCAGGAGAACUACUGGAUCUGGGUGGAGGAUCCGGACACCAACCACAUGUACCACCACGAGCAGUUCACCCUCACCAAGAAACAGGUGGUGCGGCAGGUGGACACACAGCUGGUGUUCACGAUCCCCAUCUUCGAGCCCAUGCCCACCCAGUACUACAUCCGCGCCAUCAGCGAUCGAUGGCUCAACUGUGAAUCCACCUGUGUCGUCAACUUCAGGAACCUCAUUCUGCCUGAGCGUCACCCCCCGCACACUGACCUGCUCGACCUGGACCCACUACCCGUGACCGCCCUCAACAACUCCACCCUGGAAAUGCUCUACCCCUUCACGCACUUCAACCCCAUCCAGACCCAGCUCUUCCACGCACUCUACCACACGGAUCACAACGUCCUCCUCGGCGCCCCCACAGGCUCCGGGAAGACGAUCGCCGCGGAGAUUGCCAUGUUUAGGGUCUUCCGAGAGUACCCCGAGUCUAAGGUGGUGUACAUCGCCCCCAUGAAGGCCUUGGUCAGGGAGCGCGUGGAGGAUUGGCGGAUCAGACUGCAGGAGAAGCUCAACAAGAAGGUGGUGGAGCUGACCGGCGAUGUGACACCUGAUAUUAGGGCCAUCCAGGCCGCUCACGUCAUCGUCACCACCCCGGAGAAGUGGGACGGCAUCUCUCGGUCCUGGCAGACUCGCAACUACGUCAAGCAGGUCGCCUUGAUUGUGAUUGACGAGAUCCAUUUGCUGGGUGAGGACCGAGGGCCAGUUCUUGAGGUCAUCGUGUCCAGAACCAACUUCAUCUCGAGCCACACUGGCCAGACCCUCCGCAUCAUCGGCCUCUCCACGGCCCUGGCCAACUCCAAGGACCUGGCCAACUGGCUGGGCAUCGGGCAGGUCGGCCUAUACAACUUCCGGCCCUCGGUGCGCCCGGUGCCCCUGGAGGUCCACAUCUCAGGGUUCCCAGGCAAACACUACUGCCCGAGGAUGGCCACCAUGAACAAGCCAACAUUCCAGGCCAUCAAGCAGUACUCCCCCGACAAGCCAGUGCUGGUGUUCGUGUCCUCGCGCCGACAGACCCGCCUCACCGCGAUGGACCUCAUGGGCUUUGUGGUGGUGGAGGCGAACCCCAAACAGUGGCUCAAGCUGCCUGAGUAUGAGAUGGAGCAGAUCAUAAGCCGCGUAAAGGAUGACAACCUCCGUCUCUGCCUGUCGUUUGGGGUUGGCCUGCACCACGCUGGCCUGGUUGAGAGGGACAGGAGGGUGGUGGAGGAGCUCUUUGUCAACCAGAAAAUACAGGUCCUCAUCACCACCGCCACCCUCGCCUGGGGGGUCAACUUUCCGGCGCACUUGGUGGUCGUGAAGGGAACAGAAUACUAUGACGGGAAGACCAGGAGAUAUGUGGACUUCCCGAUCACAGACGUGCUGCAGAUGAUGGGGCGUGCGGGGCGUCCUCAGUUCGACAACGAGGGCGUGGCCGUCAUCCUCGUCCACGACCAGAAAAAACACUUCUACAAAAAGUUCCUGUACGAGCCCUUCCCUGUGGAGUCCAGCCUUCAGGGAGUGCUGCCAGACCACCUGAACGCAGAGAUCGUGGCGGGCACCAUCACCACCAAGCAGGAGGCCCUCGACUACCUCACCUGGACCUACUUCUUCAGGAGGCUGCUGCAGAACCCCUCCUACUAUGGGCUUGAGCUGGAGGAGGAGGCAAAACCGGAUGAGGCCAUCAACCACUUGCUGUCAUCCACCGUGGACCGCGCGCUGGCCACACUGGCGGAAGCAAACUGUGUGGGCGUUGGCGAGGACGGCCGCAGCAUCGAAGCCACACCCCUAGGCCGCAUCUCCUCCUUCUACUACAUCUCACACAAGACCAUCCAGCUGUUCCACGAGAAGCUCAAGCCGGACAUGACCCUGGAGGCCCUGAUGGAGCUUAUGACGGAGGCCCACGAGUACUCCGAGCUUCCAGUCCGCCACAAUGAGGACCUUCUCAACGGUGACCUGGCCAAGUCGUGCCCACUGGAGGUCAGUCAGUACACGCUGGACUCCCCGCACACCAAAACCUUCCUCCUCCUCCAGGCGCACCUCUCCCGCCUCCCCCUGCCCUGCGUCGACUACCUCACGGAUACCAAGUCUGUCCUGGACCAGUCGAUUAGGAUACUGCAGGCCAUGCUGGAUAUGUGUGGGUGUGCUGGGUGGCUGGCAGCGGCCCUCCAAGUCCAGAUGGUGAUGCAGAUGGUGACGCAGGCCAGAUGGCACACCGACGCACCCUUCCUCACCCUGCCGCACAUCACCCACGACUCCCUGGACGCCUUCAGGAACCACCCCACACUCCCCCACCUGAUGGAAGCCGUGAGGGGUGACAGGUAUGAGGUGCUUGCGGCUCCUCUGCGGAACUACCUGGAGGAGGGGCAGGUGGAGGCCGUCCAUCGCACCCUGCAGCAUCUCCCCCGCGUGGCUGUGAGCGUGUAUGUGCGCGGGAGGAGGGGACACGCACAUGUGAACGUUAAUGUAGCCUUGGGAGGAGGCCGAGGAGACAGUGGCGCCAGUACAGAGGUGGAGGUGGAGGCAGGGCAAGAAUACACCCUGGCGGUCACCCUAACACGUCUCAACAGGGCGCAUGACCUCAGGGUUCACACGCAGAAGUUCCCCAAGCCCAAGGACGAGGGUUGGUUCCUGGUGCUGGGCGAGGCGGAGAGUGGUGACCUGGUUGCCCUGCGGCGUGUGUCGGGUGUGAGGGGCCGCUCAACGUACCAGCUCUCCUUCAAGACACCGACUAACACAGGUCGUUCUGUGCUGACCCUCUACCUGAUGUCCGAUGGCUACCUGUUCCUGGACCAGCAGUAUGACAUCCCCCUCAGGGUCGUGCCAGCAACUCGGAACCACGAGGAAGAGGAGUGGAUGAAGGAGGAGGAGGAGGAGGAGGAGAAGAAGAAGGGAGAAGAGGAGGAGAGUAAUAAGAAGUGGCUCCCUCCCCCACCAGACAUGCUUCCAGUAAUGAAAUCCUGCUUUUCGGACAACAAGAAGAAGGAAGAAGAGAAGGAAGAGGAGGAGGAGGAGGAGGAGGCGGAGGUGGCAAGGUCCCCGUCUCAAGCCUGGGGAAGCCGAGAGCAGAGGCAGAGAGGAGGAGGAGGAGGAAGGAGGAGGAAUAGAUAAGGGGAUGAUGAUAGAGAUAGAUGGAGAGAGAAAGAGAUUGUUUGUUGUUUUCUCUCUCUCUCUCUCUCUCUCUCUCUCUCUCUCGUUGUGGCUUUUUUUGUUUGUUUUUUCCUCAUUUAAUUUCUUCGCUACGAGAGAAAAAUUCCAGAAAAGUCCUUAGCAUUUUUUUUUUUUACUUUUUUUUACUUUUUUUUUUUCAUGUAUAAGUUUCUUCGUCAUCGUAAAUUCUUGUCAUUUAUUUGAAUUUUCUUUAUUAUUAUUAUUAUUGUCAAGCUGCUUAUUCAUUCCCUUGUCUGAUCUUUUCUUCCUUCAAGUGCAACGGCUGAAACUUCUUUAUCAUCAAAUCUUUAGUUAUUUAUGUAUUUCCUUUUCUCUCGGUAACCAGAAAUGUCCAUAUCUAAUCUCUUUGUUUUUCGUAUAUUAAUUCCUUUAAGUAUAAUGGCAGAAACUUCCUUAUUAGCUUCAAAUCUCCUGUUAUUGCUUCUUGGUGAUGAAUUUAGAUUAUGUUAUGGUGAUGGUGUAUAGUGGUGAGGGUGUGUGAAUGGACUGGUGUUGGUGUGUGAGGAAGACUAACUGAGAUGGUGGUGUGUGUGUGUGUGUGUGUGGUGAAUUUAGAUGGUGUUUAGUGGUGAGGGUGUGUGAGGAAGACUAACUGAGGAGGUGGUGUGUGUGGUGAAUUUAGAUGGUGUUUAGUGGUGAGGGUGUGUGAGGAAGACUAACUGAGGAGGAGGUGGUGUGUGUGGUGAAUUUAGAUGGUGUUUAGUGGUGAGGGUGUGUGAGGAAGACUAACUGAGGAGGAGCUGGUGUGUGUGGUGAAUUUAGAUGGUGUUUAGUGGUGAGGGUGUGUGAGGAAGACUAACUGAGGAGGAGGUGGUGUGUGUGUGUGGUGAAUUUAGAUGGCGUUGUGGUCUUUCCUUCUUCACAUCACAAGUAUCUUUAUCAUCAAAUUGUUACUCAUGAUUUUCUGUCCCUUCCCGUUCUUCUUCUUUCUUGUUUUCCUUAUUUAAAUUAUCUCGCAGCGACAGGAUAUUGUUUUCGGUUAAGUUGAAGUUGUCAUGUCUAUUUUGAUUCUACUGCUGAGAGAUAAACGACAAGCCAAUAUUUAUAACAAGGAUAUAUUACUGAGGGUUGAAUUAUAAGACAUUUCGCUGCCCAAGAACACAUAUUUGACAAGGCCUUCGUAGGAUUUGUGGGCAUUUCCAGGAGUAGUUUUAUGACCCUGGUGGUAGUGUGACCCUUCCUC